UGGGGGAUAUUGCACAAUGGAGGGAACUCUGAUGCAGCGACGCCGCGUGAACGAUGAAGGCUUUCGAGUCGUAAAGUUCUUUUAUAUGGGAAGAUAAUGACGGUACCAUAAGAAAAAGCCCCGGCUAACUACGUGCCAGCAGCCGCGGUAAUACGUAGGGGGCUAGCGUUGUCCGGAAUCACUGGGCGUAAAGGGUUCGCAGGCGGAAAUGCAAGUCAGGUGUAAAAGGCAGUAGCUUAACUACUGUAAGCAUUUGAAACUGCAUAUCUUGAGAAGAGUAGAGGUAAGUGGAAUUUUUAGUGUAGCGGUGAAAUGCGUAGAUAUUAAAAAGAAUACCGGUGGCGAAGGCGACUUACUGGGCUCAUUCUGACGCUGAGGAACGAAAGCGUGGGUAGCAAACAGG
Molecule: ribosomal RNA, 403 nt
Filed under: Fusobacteriota bacterium
Lineage: Bacteria; Fusobacteriati; Fusobacteriota
Description: Fusobacteria bacterium partial 16S ribosomal RNA
Rfam family: Bacterial small subunit ribosomal RNA
Source: RNAcentral